RNAcentral lists this ribosomal RNA (815 nucleotides) under Streptomyces cremeus. Its description in RNAcentral is "bacterial SSU rRNA". It matches the Rfam family "Bacterial small subunit ribosomal RNA", at positions 60 to 890 of the family's 1533-position model. The record is from RNAcentral. Lineage: Bacteria; Bacillati; Actinomycetota; Actinomycetes; Kitasatosporales; Streptomycetaceae.
AGUCGAACGAUGAACCACUUCGGUGGGGAUUAGUGGCGAACGGGUGAGUAACACGUGGGCAAUCUGCCCUUCACUCUGGGACAAGCCCUGGAAACGGGGUCUAAUACCGGAUAACACUCCUGCCCGCAUGGGUGGGGGUUGAAAGCUCCGGCGGUGAAGGAUGAGCCCGCGGCCUAUCAGCUUGUUGGUGGGGUAAUGGCCUACCAAGGCGACGACGGGUAGCCGGCCUGAGAGGGCGACCGGCCACACUGGGACUGAGACACGGCCCAGACUCCUACGGGAGGCAGCAGUGGGGAAUAUUGCACAAUGGGCGAAAGCCUGAUGCAGCGACGCCGCGUGAGGGAUGACGGCCUUCGGGUUGUAAACCUCUUUCAGCAGGGAAGAAGCGAAAGUGACGGUACCUGCAGAAGAAGCGCCGGCUAACUACGUGCCAGCAGCCGCGGUAAUACGUAGGGCGCAAGCGUUGUCCGGAAUUAUUGGGCGUAAAGAGCUCGUAGGCGGCUUGUCACGUCGGAUGUGAAAGCCCGGGGCUUAACCCCGGGUCUGCAUUCGAUACGGGCAGGCUAGAGUGUGGUAGGGGAGAUCGGAAUUCCUGGUGUAGCGGUGAAAUGCGCAGAUAUCAGGAGGAACACCGGUGGCGAAGGCGGAUCUCUGGGCCAUUACUGACGCUGAGGAGCGAAAGCGUGGGGAGCGAACAGGAUUAGAUACCCUGGUAGUCCACGCCGUAAACGUUGGGAACUAGGUGUUGGCGACAUUCCACGUCGUCGGUGCCGCAGCUAACGCAUUAAGUUCCCCGCCUGGGGAGUACGGCCGCA